Molecule: ribosomal RNA, 253 nt
Filed under: uncultured bacterium
Lineage: Bacteria
Description: partial 16S ribosomal RNA
Rfam family: Bacterial small subunit ribosomal RNA
Source: RNAcentral
UACAGAGGGUGCGAGCGUUGUUCGGAAUCAUUGGGCGUAAAGCGCUUGUAGGCGGCCUGUCAAGUCGCGUGUGAAAUCCCCUGGCUUAACCAGGGAAGUGCGCGCGAAACUGGCGGGCUUGAGUGCCGGAGAGGGUCGCGGAAUUCCCGGUGUAGAGGUGAAAUUCGUAGAUAUCGGGAGGAACACCCGUGGCGAAGGCGGCUCACUGGCCCGGUACUGACGCUGAGGUGCGAAAGCGUGGGGAGCAAACAGG